This 130-nucleotide ribosomal RNA is filed under the name Pleosporales sp. RNAcentral describes it as "5.8S ribosomal RNA". It matches the Rfam family "5.8S ribosomal RNA", at positions 1 to 129 of the family's 154-position model. Rfam says of the family: 5.8S ribosomal RNA (5.8S rRNA) is a component of the large subunit of the eukaryotic ribosome. It is transcribed by RNA polymerase I as part of the 45S precursor that also contains 18S and 28S rRNA. Lineage: Eukaryota; Fungi; Ascomycota; Dothideomycetes; Pleosporales. The record is from RNAcentral.
CAACUUUCAACAAUGGAUCUCUUGGUUCUGGCAUCGAUGAAGAACGCAGCGAAAUGCGAUAAGUAGUGUGAAUUGCAGAAUUUAGCGAAUCAUCGAAUCUUUGAACGCACAUUGCGCCUCUUGGUAUUCC